Molecule: ribosomal RNA, 497 nt
Filed under: uncultured bacterium
Lineage: Bacteria
Description: partial 16S ribosomal RNA
Rfam family: Bacterial small subunit ribosomal RNA
Source: RNAcentral
GAUGAACGCUGGCGGCGUGCCUAAUACAUGCAAGUCGAGCGAACAGACGAGUAGCUUUCUCCUCUGACGUUAGCGGCGGACGGGUGAGUAACACGCGGAUACCCUACCUAUAAGACUGGGAUAACUUCGGGAAACCGGAGCUCAUACCGGAUAAUAUAUUGAACCGCAUGGUUCAAUAGUGAAAGACGGUUUUGCUGUCACUUAUAGAUGGAUCCGCGCCGCAUUAGCUAGUUGGUAAGGUAACGGCUUACCAAGGCGACGAUGCGUAGCCGACCUGAGAGGGUGAUCAGCCACACUGGAACUGAGACACGGUCCAGACUCCUACGGGAGGCAGCAGUAGGGAAUCUUCCGCAAUGGGCGAAAGCCUGACGGAGCAACGCCGCGUGAGUGAUGAAGGUCUUCGGGUCGUAAAACUCUGUUAUUAGGGAAGAACAAAUGUGUAAGUAACUAUGCACGUCUUGACGGUACCGAAUCAGAAAGCCACGGCUAACUACGUG